GCCGUACCAUGCUGAAUAUACCGGUUCUCGUUAGAUCACCGAAGUUAAGCAUCAUUGGGCGCGGUCAGUACUUGGGUGGGUGACCACCUGGGCACACU
RNAcentral lists this ribosomal RNA (98 nucleotides) under Caerostris darwini. The record is from RNAcentral. Lineage: Eukaryota; Metazoa; Arthropoda; Arachnida; Araneae; Araneidae.